Molecule: long non-coding RNA, 2313 nt
Organism: Leopardus geoffroyi (Geoffroy's cat)
Lineage: Eukaryota; Metazoa; Chordata; Mammalia; Carnivora; Felidae
Exons: 3
Source: RefSeq, a predicted model, not a curated record
CCCCUGGUACUUGGAGUCCAUAUCACUGGUUUGGCACUUAGCACUAUAGCUGUUAAAGCUACAACUUUUGAAAUAGAAGAUUUCAACCAAAAUGUCCCAGUAGUACUAAAAUACCUCGAGUCAAAUCAUGAACAUUGAUGCCCAAAUGUAGCAUAAGAAGUUAAUUCUAAGGCUAAAAAUGCCUGAAAGGGAGAGGGAAUUGAAUGGGCAGCCAGGGGUAGAGAUAAAGGUAGGAAGAAUAACAAAGUGAGAGCCUUCAUAAAAGUACAGAGUUGAUUCUGGUACUUUCCUCUGCAUCCCUUAAUAUAUCACUCAGGAACAGUAAGACUCAGUAAAAAGCAGGAAGAGAAAUGAGACAGCCCUUGCAGUUUUCAGAAACUACAAUUUUUUUUUUUUUUUUUUUUAAGUUUAAAAGGUAGUUGAUAUUACCUAUGCAAGACUCUGGCUUGGGAAGAGUUAAAGUGUGGGGGUGCGGGUGGUGGGGGGUUGCCAGCAAGUGAUUAUUCAAUUGAACCACUAAACUUGUUUUUCAAAAAUGCUUUUAAAUGAACACAUUUAAUUAAAAGGAAAAAAAUAAAUAAAGAGGUUGUAACUCAUGAGAAGCAUUGUGCUAACUUGAGUUUGGUUUCUUUGAGCUGUCUGAACUGAGUGAUAGAUGUAAGAGUUACCCACUGAGUUAUAGUCACCCUGAUUACUUUAUUGUUAGAAAUCUCUACACACUCCACAUUUCAACAGUGAGGCAGAUCCAGGGGAAACACAGGAAGGGUCACCUGAGCGAGGAGACUGCUGGUCUCCUACUACAUCUUUGCUUCUUUUGUGUUACAGACUUUGUGUCUCUUAAUAAAUCCUGAUUCUUUCACCAGUGCCAGACCAGUGAGACAUCUUUUUUGGUCCCAGGUGAUCAUAUGUCAGUAGUUAGACGAUAGCUUUCUGUAGCAUCAUUAUUGUCAUAAACACACACACACACACACACACACACACGCAGAGGCAGUACUGCAUUGAUUACAUGGUGCACAUCAUUUCGCGUUUUAACAUUUCUGAAAUUGGCGGGGGGUGUCUUAUAAAGGAUGAUAUAUUAGAACUGGUACAAUAUGAAGGCAGGGAGCAAGACUGAGAUUCUCACAAUGACCGACUAAAAGGAAUAUUGCUGAUCCAAUCCAAUCCCCUUCUUUUAUAAGUAAAACACACACACACACACACACACACACACACACACACGGUGAGAAGCCAAAAUCAAUCCUGGAAUCCAAACCUCCUGAUACAGUUAUUGUUCUGUGUUCUAAAAUCUCACCAGAGAUACUAGAGAACUGACUUGGUGUUACAUGUAAACAAUAGGAAAUCAAAAAAGUUUUGGGAUGAGGAAGACAUGAAGAAAGCAAUUCAGUAUCCCAUACACAUAAAAGAUCAGAGACAGAGUCACUUUUGCUCAUCAUGACAAUUCUGAGUGCCCAACACAGUGCCUUGCAGAUAACAGGCAUUUUACAAAUUAAUUUACAGAUGAAUGUCCUGAGAUGAAAAUCUGGCAGACAUCUAAGCUCUUCACCCACCAAAUGUAUUAGAAUUUCUGGGCCUGGGACCCAACAUCUUGACUUUUGACAAGCAUUCCGUGGCGAUUCUCCUGGCCAUCAACGUUUGAGAACCCAAAUGUAUGAGACAAUAACGACCUGCAGUGGAGGCAAAGGAAGAUUCUGAGCCAUCUGCAGAUAUAAUACACAGAGCUGUUUCUGUGGUGACAGCAGACAUAACCCCAACUGGGGCAUGAUGUCAUCAACUUUAGGGUGAACAGAGAAUUAGCCAAGGCUGAAUUCAGUAACACCUCUACUAUCCAGUCAGUCUCCACAGUUAGCUGGCUUUGAAGAAGCAAGCUCCCAGGAGUCAUGGAGCAGCAAGGAAAUGAAUUCAGACACCAAUCGAGGAAGCCUGGAAGCAAAUUCUUUCCCAGUCGAACCUAGGAGGCUCACCUAGACUGCAGCCUGGUGACAGACCCUGAUGAAGAGGAACCAGCUAAGCUGCCCAGACUCCUGACCCACAGAAGCUGUGAAGUCAUAAACGUGUGCGCCGUUUUAUGUCAGCAAGUUUUUGGUAAUAUACAAGGCAACCACAAAAACUAAUAGAGCAGGUCUAGCUGGGGGACUGAGAGAAACCCACUUGGAACAGCACUACGAGGCAUGUGACACCAACGUUUGCUGCCUGCCCGUUUGGGCUCAGCUUUCAAGUUGCUCUGGUCCCCAUCAGACUACAAUCUCCUUAUAACACAAAGCAUUAUAUUCCAUGGCUCCCAGGACAGUCCUCAAUAAAUACCUGAGUGUUGGC